RNAcentral lists this long non-coding RNA (455 nucleotides) under Anas platyrhynchos platyrhynchos (common mallard). RNAcentral's name for it is "lncRNA (ENSAPLG00000018327.1)". Lineage: Eukaryota; Metazoa; Chordata; Aves; Anseriformes; Anatidae. The record is from RNAcentral.
CUCAGGUGCCACUCAAAAUUAUGACCUCACAAUGUGGACAGUUUCAUACUCUUGCUGUCCACUUCAAGUUUCUUUACAGAACACAGAAGAUUCCUCUUUUACUUUCACUUUUCUGAGCUGUUUCCUCAAAGAAAGGUAGUAAAUGGCGAGAAGAAAGGAGAAGGGAAGAAGAAAACAAAUGAGAUACUCCACAAAGAUAAAUGUGAAAAUACAACCUGAAAUAGUAAGUAAUCUGCAGAGCCUGAGAUUUUACAUGCAAACUGCAUUAAAACAUUAAUCAUGUAAUGAUCUGUGUAACAUUAAUGAUGUAGUACAUUCACAUAGGAUGAAAAAAAAAAAAACAAACAAAGGAAGAUGUAAGUCUAGUUCUGACACAGCUUUUCAAUGUGAAGUUGCUUAAGUUUAGUCACCUGUGUUCUCAAUAAAGGCUAUACAACUUCUGUUUUCCUAUCUCA